AACGAACGCUGGCGGCAUGCCUAACACAUGCAAGUCGAACGAAACCUUCGGGUCUAGUGGCGCACGGGUGCGUCACGCGUGGGAACCUGCCCUUAGGUUCGGCAUAACUCCCCGAAAGGGGUGCUAAUACCGGAUAAUGUCUUCGGACCAAAGAUUUAUCGCCUUUGGAUGGGCCCGCGUUGGAUUAGCUAGUUGGUAGGGUAAAAGCCUACCAAGGCGACGAUCCAUAGCUGGUCUGAGAGGAUGAUCAGCCACACUGGGACUGAGACACGGCCCAGACUCCUACGGGAGGCAGCAGUGGGGAAUAUUGGACAAUGGGCGAAAGCAUGAUCCAGCAAUGCCGCGUGAGUGAUGAAGGCCGUAGGGUUGUAAAGCGCUUUUAACCGGGAUGAUAAUGACAGUACCGGGAGAAUAAGCCCCGGCUAACUACGUG
Molecule: ribosomal RNA, 433 nt
Filed under: uncultured bacterium
Lineage: Bacteria
Description: partial 16S ribosomal RNA
Rfam family: Bacterial small subunit ribosomal RNA
Source: RNAcentral